This 468-nucleotide ribosomal RNA is filed under the name uncultured bacterium. RNAcentral describes it as "partial 16S ribosomal RNA". It matches the Rfam family "Bacterial small subunit ribosomal RNA", at positions 28 to 507 of the family's 1533-position model. The record is from RNAcentral.
GACGAACGCUGGCGGCGUGCUUAACACAUGCAAGUCGAACGGAAAGGCCCUGCUUUUGUGGGGUGCUCGAGUGGCGAACGGGUGAGUAACACGUGGGUAACCUGCCCUUGACUUUGGGAUAACUUCAGGAAACUGGGGCUAAUACCGGAUAGGAGCUCCUGCUGCAUGGUGGGGGUUGGAAAGUUUCGGCGGUUGGGGAUGGACUCGCGGCUUAUCAGCUUGUUGGUGGGGUAGUGGCUUACCAAGGCUUUGACGGGUAGCCGGCCUGAGAGGGUGACCGGCGACAUUGGGACUGCGAUACGGCCCAGACUCCUACGGGAGGCAGCAGUGGGGAAUAUUGCACAAUGGGCGGAAGCCUGAUGCAGCAACGCCGCGUGCGGGAUGACGGCCUUCGGGUUGUAAACCGCUUUCGCCUGUGACGAAGCGUGAGUGACGGUAAUGGGUAAAGAAGCACCGGCUAACUACGUG